This 376-nucleotide ribosomal RNA is filed under the name uncultured bacterium. Its description in RNAcentral is "bacterial SSU rRNA". It matches the Rfam family "Bacterial small subunit ribosomal RNA", at positions 335 to 704 of the family's 1533-position model. The record is from RNAcentral.
ACUCCUACGGGAGGCAGCAGUGGGGAAUAUUGCACAAUGGGGAAAGCCCUGAUGCAGCCAUGCCGCGUGUGUGAAGAAGGCCUUCGGGUUGUAAAGCACUUUCAGUAGGGAGGAAGUAUGUAGUAACACCUGCAUUAUUGACGUUACCUACAGAAGAAGCACCGGCUAACUCCGUGCCAGCAGCCGCGGUAAUACGGAGGGUGCGAGCGUUAAUCGGAAUUACUGGGCGUAAAGCGCAUGCAGGCGGCCUGUUAAGUCAGAUGUGAAAAGCCCGGGGCUUAACCUCGGAAUUGCAUUUGAAAACUGGCAGACUAGAGUACUGUAGAGGGGGGUAGAAUUUCAGGUGUAGCGGUGAAAAUGCGUAGAGAUCUGAAGG